This is a long non-coding RNA of Neogobius melanostomus (round goby), 2619 nucleotides long. NCBI's taxonomy places the organism in Eukaryota, Metazoa, Chordata, Actinopteri, Gobiiformes, Gobiidae. The record is from Ensembl.
CAGCUGCUGUCACUCAACACUUGUCUGCUUUAAAAAUGUCUUCUUAUUCCAGGUACAUUCUGUAUAAAGCCCUGUAGGUCAGAGCUACAUCUACAUUUCCACCGAAGGGGAAGAAAUAAUAAAUAAACCUAUUGGUGACCCUGAUGGAGUCCUGGCCAAAAGCCUCUCCCCCCUGUUCGAGAAAAACCUGCCGAAAGGCUUCAAGUACCUGUUCUACAACGACCAGCUUCCUCCUGACGGGAGAUCAGUCAACGAAAACUAUGGCCACAGUAAAGGUGUGGUUCUGUUGGAUGAGACGAGGGCUCUGUGGAUCACUCACAGCACUCCGAGGUUCCCCUUCACAAGAGAACGGGACACCUUUUGGCCUGACAGUGGGAACAAGAACGGCCAGACCUUCAUGUGUGUGAACAUUGCACGCAACCAGCUCGACGUUAUAGGUAAUCAUCUGAAGAACAUCCAUGCAUAUGUAUUUAGUCAAAGCGAUCCUGGCAUUUUCCCCAAAGACACGGAUAAAGCUCCUACACUCCCAGUCUUCCAACCUCUGCAGGUCAACAACAAGAAGAACCUCUGGGUUGUGGCCAAGGGGACAGACUCUUUGGGUAAUGCGAAAGUUGGAGACCUGUACGUGCAGCUGAGUCAUCACUUCCAGAGUGAAAUCUAUGCAAAGACCUGGGGCUGCGGGCCAAAGGACAAGAGCUACUGUGAAGAUAACCAAUACAAAGUCAUGAGCGUGAUAGAGGUGACGACCAGUCUGAGGGACUGGAGUUGGACCCAAGACCACUCCAAAUGGGCCGUGACUACAGACAACAACAUCCACUGGACCUGCAUCGCCGACAUGAACCGAGCUCCGUCCCAGUACAAGAGACCGGGAGGAGCUCUAUGCAUCCAGGACGAGAGGGUGAACGUUCUGUUCAAAGGGUUCAAGAAGGAGCUUCUGCAGUGUAGCGUCAAUCCAAAAGAGUGUGGGGAAAACAAUGACGUGGACUUUCAGGAGAUGAAUCUGAAAAAACACGACGACCUUUAACUCCCGUCGCUGCAGAGCGAGUAAAGAUCAGGUGAUGUUUCUAAACCUUUAAGCUGAGGCGCUGCAGGUGAAGAGAGAAAACAAUUACAUUCAGAGAUUUCAAAUGAACAUAUAUUCAAAAUGUAUUUCACAUUCUCACAAAAAAAUAAUGCAUGAAAACGGCCAAAAUGUUCCAUAUUUACAGUGAUGAAAUCUUAAAGCUUAAAGACAUUUUUGUUUUGGCCCAAACUUGUUUCUAGCUCUCACAGUCCCUCCUGUGUAUUCACAUUGUUCAAAGAAUGUAAACAUUUCACCCAUAUACAGCACUGAGUGGUGACAAAGUGAAGCAGGGCGGGGCCACCCCUAAGAUAAAUUACAUUCAUUUAGAUCAGACUUUAUCAUCCAUCGCUCUAUAAAACUUUAGGUGAAGACAAAACAACAAGGUCUGUGUUUGAAACAGACUCUGAGGCAAAAACAAAUGUAUUUUACACCAAAAAAUCAGGUACCCCGACUUUAAUAAGAGGUUUGAAUGUGUGGUUUUAUUUUGUGAGAUAUUAGUUCCCAAAGGGAUUUAAAACUAAGCUGUUAGUGGAGAAAUCUCUAAAUGUAUUUGCCGUAAAUCAGACAUUUUUCGUCCUCACCACAAAACUAGACGACUCGACUUUGACUCUUUUGACAAAUAAGUUGAAGUUGUGUUUUUAAAAUCAGUCGUCGUCGUUGAAAGUCUGGCGUCUGUAUCUCUGUAAAGUGCAGAUGUUAUUGCACCAACCAAAGAAAGUUUCCCAAAUAAAUCUGAGAGAAACGUUGAAUCAGUGAAUAAUUAAAGGGAUUUUUUGUUUAUUUGUUAGAGACUAACUGAGCCCAAAACCUGCAGUGUCUCGCCUUAAACAUCAGCAGCACAUUUUAUUAAACAUAAUAAAGUCACAUAUAGAGUUGUGUCAGGGAUAUAAACAGAUGUAUAUGUAUUACAGGGCAAUGAUGAGCCGCUCUUUACAAUAAUGACACUGAAAUAAAUCAAUGUAUGAAUUGUUUAACGUUGUUUAUGUUGAAACUGUAAAAUCAAAGCCUGUAUUUUCUGAUCUUAUUAUAACGACUCAUAAUCAAGUUUGUUUCAGUCAUUGUGAGGGAUUAAUGUCGGAUAAACUAAGUGUUAAAUCAACGGCACAGGCCACUUCAUUAUUAAUAUGAAUCGAUUUGUUUUAAUAAAAGCUAACAUGAAUGAUUCAGAAAGAAACUGUUCAAUCUGAGCAAAUAAAGCCUUUGGAAACAUGGAGAGGUCGUCCAGGGAGACUUUCCUUCAUAAACCCCUUAACCUAAAGCUUAUUGACUGGAGCCUAAAGGCCUCAUUUGAAAGCUAAGACCUACAAAAGUGAUCCUGACUUUUUUGUUGCGUUGUCGCUGUGUUUUUUGUCACACUCUUGAAGCCUUUUUGUUGUGUUUUCAUCCCGUUUUUUGUCGUGUUUUUGUCACUUUUUGAUUGUGUUAUUGAUGCUUUUCUGGCAUGUUUCUGUCGCUCUUUUGUCGCUUUGUUCAACUGUGCUUUUCCAGCUCUAAGCCCCGCCCCCGUGUUUGAAAUCGCCAUUUGUUUAACCUCUUAGCCCCCACAUGAACCGAGC